Molecule: ribosomal RNA, 954 nt
Filed under: Penicillium limosum
Lineage: Eukaryota; Fungi; Ascomycota; Eurotiomycetes; Eurotiales; Aspergillaceae
Description: SSU rRNA
Rfam family: Eukaryotic small subunit ribosomal RNA
Source: RNAcentral
UGAUAGUACCUUACUACAUGGAUACCUGUGGUAAUUCUAGAGCUAAUACAUGCUAAAAACCCCGACUUCAGGAAGGGGUGUAUUUAUUAGAUAAAAAACCAACGCCCUUCGGGGCUCCUUGGUGAAUCAUAAUAACUUAACGAAUCGCAUGGCCUUGCGCCGGCGAUGGUUCAUUCAAAUUUCUGCCCUAUCAACUUUCGAUGGUAGGAUAGUGGCCUACCAUGGUGGCAACGGGUAACGGGGAAUUAGGGUUCGAUUCCGGAGAGGGAGCCUGAGAAACGGCUACCACAUCCAAGGAAGGCAGCAGGCGCGCAAAUUACCCAAUCCCGAUACGGGGAGGUAGUGACAAUAAAUACUGAUACGGGGCUCUUUUGGGUCUCGUAAUUGGAAUGAGAACAAUUUAAAUCCCUUAACGAGGAACAAUUGGAGGGCAAGUCUGGUGCCAGCAGCCGCGGUAAUUCCAGCUCCAAUAGCGUAUAUUAAAGUUGUUGCAGUUAAAAAGCUCGUAGUUGAACCUUGGGUCUGGCUGGCCGGUCCGCCUCACCGCGAGUACUGGUCCGGCUGGACCUUUCCUUCUGGGGAACCUCAUGGCCUUCACUGGCUGUGGGGGGAACCAGGACUUUUACUGUGAAAAAAUUAGAGUGUUCAAAGCAGGCCUUUGCUCGAAUACAUUAGCAUGGAAUAAUAGAAUAGGACGUGCGGUUCUAUUUUGUUGGUUUCUAGGACCGCCGUAAUGAUUAAUAGGGAUAGUCGGGGGCGUCAGUAUUCAGCUGUCAGAGGUGAAAUUCUUGGAUUUGCUGAAGACUAACUACUGCGAAAGCAUUCGCCAAGGAUGUUUUCAUUAAUCAGGGAACGAAAGUUAGGGGAUCGAAGACGAUCAGAUACCGUCGUAGUCUUAACCAUAAACUAUGCCGACUAGGGAUCGGACGGGAUUCUAUGAUGACCCGUUCGGCA